UACAGAGGUCUCAAGCGUUGUUCGGAUUCAUUGGGCGUAAAGGGUGCGUAGGCGGCGCGGUAAGUCGGGUGUGAAAUUUCGAGGCUUAACUUCGAAACUGCAUUCCAUACUGCGGUGCUUGAGGACUGGAGAGGAGACUGGAAUUUACGGUGUAGCAGUGAAAUGCGUAGAGAUCGUAAGGAAGACCAGUGGCGAAGGCGGGUCUCUGGACAGUUCCUGACACUGAGGCACGAAGGCCAGGGGAGCAAACGGG
Molecule: ribosomal RNA, 253 nt
Filed under: uncultured bacterium
Lineage: Bacteria
Description: partial 16S ribosomal RNA
Rfam family: Bacterial small subunit ribosomal RNA
Source: RNAcentral